This 1190-nucleotide long non-coding RNA is filed under the name Astyanax mexicanus (Mexican tetra). Its description in RNAcentral is "lncRNA (ENSAMXG00005013324.1)". The record is from RNAcentral. Lineage: Eukaryota; Metazoa; Chordata; Actinopteri; Characiformes; Acestrorhamphidae.
CUUGAACUCAUUGAUAAUUUGCAUUAACUUACCAUAAGUCUAGAACUAUGAAUGAGAGCCACCAUUCAUUUCAAACAGGAGGGCUUUAAUGUUAUCUAAUGCUUUUGUCCUCAGGUUUGGGAUACCCAGGGGGAGCAGACUACAGAGUAGGAGCUGGAAAACCUGGGAAAUCAGGAUAUGGAGGAUUGGGUGGAGCUGGAGGCACUGGACUUGGAGCUGGAGGUGCAGGUGGGGGUGUGGGUGGAGGUCCUGGAGGCAUAGGUGGAGGGCUAGGGGGAUUGGGAGGAGGGGCUGGUGGCCCAGCAGGAACUGGAGGAGGUAUGUGGAUAUGUGUAUGGAGUACUGAUAGGUGUCCACACCCAUCUGUUUUAAUUUGAUAUAAAUCUGAUUUAAUAUAUGGUCGUUCUGGUUUCAGGCCUCAGGUAUCCAGGAGGUGCGGGUAUUGGAGCUGGGAAGCCUGGUAAAUCAGGAUAUGGCACAGGUGCCUUGGGUGGUCAAGGCUACCUGCCAGGAGGUGGACAGCCUGGCUAUGGUGGGGGUGGUCCAGGUGGCUAUCAGCAGCCUUUCCCAGGUUAUGGUGGAGCUGGAGCAGGAGGAGCUGGAAGUGCUCCACUUACACCUCAACAAUGUAAGAACCUUCCAAAUGUCAAAUGUUUUACAUUACAUUACAUUACAUUGCAUUUGGCAGACGCUUUUGUCCAAAGCGACUUACAAUAGUGAAGUACAAAAGUAAUGGAAGUUAAAGGUAAAAACAUCUUAAGAUAGGGCCUAAAGGAGGUCAAAGGGAAAUAAUAGGAUAGAGGAGUGAAGGAGGGGAAGAAGGAAAUGGGGUUAGAAGUAGUUAGUGUGUUAGAGGUGUUAAGAGAGUAAGUGCUCUUUGAAGAGCUCCGUCUUCAGGAGUCUCUUAAAGAUAGCGAGAGAUUCUCCUGAUCUGGUAGUGGAAGGUAGUUUGUUCCACCAUUGGGGAACUCUGUAUGAGAACAGUCUGGAUUGCUUUGUGUGAAUGUUUGGUAAAGCGAGGCGACGUUCAUUGGAGGAGCGCAGCGGCCGGGAGGUAAUGUAAGCCUUCAGGAGUGAUCAGUGCAGGUAGGAAGGAGCCUGUUCUGUCAUCACCUUGUAGGCGAUUGUAAGAGCUUUGAAUUUGAUGCGAGCCUCAAAUGUCUUGUGAAAAACUGUGCAUUUCAGCCAUA